Molecule: ribosomal RNA, 403 nt
Filed under: uncultured microorganism
Description: bacterial SSU rRNA
Rfam family: Archaeal small subunit ribosomal RNA
Source: RNAcentral
GCGCACCAGUCGAGAAACCUUCGCAAUGCGGGAAACCGCGACGAGGGACUCCCAGUGCCUACGCUCAGCGUAGGCUGUUCCCGAGCCUAGAAAGCUCGGGGAGUAAGGGCUGGGUAAGACGGGUGCCAGCCGCCGCGGUAAUACCCGCAGCCCGAGUGGUGGCCACUAUUAUUGGGCCUAAAAGCGUCCGUAGCCGGCCCGGUAAAUGCCUGGGUAAAUCGUGAGGCCUAACCUCACGAAUUCCGGGUAGACUGCCGGGCUAGGGACCGGAGGAGGGAGAGGGUACUCCAGGGGUAGGGGUGAAAUCCUGUAAUCCCUGGAGGACCACCGGUGGCGAAGGCGCUCUCCUAGGACGGGUCCGACGGUGAGGGACGAAAGCCAGGGGAGCGAACCGGAUUAGAUA